AGGCGAUGUUUGUGGGUGGCGGCGUUGAUCGAAGUGGCAGCUUUGAUCGCGGAGGUUCCGUUCUGGUGUCUGGCAUCGUUGGGUUGUGUAGCAUCCCACAUGAUGGUCUACUGGUAGAACAUCUGUUUUGAACCGUUGAUCUGAUUGUAGUAUUAGAGAUGUAACAUGGACAAUUGGAUGAUAUUAAGUGGGUCAGAUCGGACGGUG
RNAcentral lists this long non-coding RNA (207 nucleotides) under Hordeum vulgare. RNAcentral's name for it is "long non-coding RNA (HVUL_LNC004907)". Lineage: Eukaryota; Viridiplantae; Streptophyta; Magnoliopsida; Poales; Poaceae. The record is from RNAcentral.